GACGAACGCUGGCGGCGUGCUUAACACAUGCAAGUCGAACGGUAAGGCCCUUCGGGGUACACGAGUGGCGAACGGGUGAGUAACACGUGGGUGAUCUGCCCUGCACUUCGGGAUAAGCCUGGGAAACUGGGUCUAAUACCGGAUAGGACCACUGCCUACAUGGGUGGUGGUGGAAAGCUUUUGGGGGGUGGGAUGGGCCCGCGGCCUAUCAGCUUGUUGGUGGGGUGAUGGCCUACCAAGGCGACGACGGGUAGCCGGCCUGAGAGGGUGACCGGCCACACUGGGACUGAGAUACGGCCCAGACUCCUACGGGAGGCAGCAGUGGGGAAUAUUGCACAAUGGGCGCAAGCCUGAUGCAGCGACGCCGCGUGAGGGAUGACGGCCUUCGGGUUGUAAACCUCUUUCAGCACCGACGAAGCGCAAGUGACGGUAGGUGCAGAAGAAGGACCGGCCAACUACGUGCCAGCAGCCGCCGCCG
RNAcentral lists this ribosomal RNA (478 nucleotides) under uncultured bacterium. Its description in RNAcentral is "partial 16S ribosomal RNA". It matches the Rfam family "Bacterial small subunit ribosomal RNA", at positions 28 to 523 of the family's 1533-position model. The record is from RNAcentral.